Rosa chinensis is the source of this 313-nucleotide long non-coding RNA. RefSeq lists it as uncharacterized. The record is from RefSeq and is a predicted model, not a curated record. The transcript is spliced from 2 exons. NCBI's taxonomy places the organism in Eukaryota, Viridiplantae, Streptophyta, Magnoliopsida, Rosales, Rosaceae.
GUUUGACGCUUUUGCCCUCGCUUCAGAUUUUUUUGCAGCCUCUGCCACCGACCCGGAUAUAUCGAGUCUUUCCCGUUGAUUUCCUCUUUCUUCUACAGUCGUGUACUCAUCUUUAUCAAAUCAAGAACGAUCGAGAAAUAGAGAGAGAGAGAGAUCAAGAAGUCGGGUGCGUUUCUUUGCUUUGCACGAAGAGAUAGAGAGGGAGAUCGGGGGCAAAUCUCUAAAGCACAGCGUCGUCGCCGAGUCAAUCCAAUUGGGUUCCAAAGUUUGAACCUUUAAUCUGUGAUGGCAUCAAAAGGUAUUUCGAGAGGAA